AUUGAACGCUGGCGGCGGGCCUAACACAUGCAAGUCGAGCGGAGCGGCGGACGGGUGAGUAAUGCCUAGGAAUCUACCUGGUAGUGGGGGAUAACGUCCGGAAACGGGCGCUAAUAUCGCAUACUAUCAGAUGAGCCUAGGUCGGAUUAGCGAGUUGGUGUGGUAAAGGCCUACAAAGGCGACGAUCCGUAACUGGUCUGAGAGGAUGAUCAGUCACACUGGAACUGAGACACGGUCCAGACUCCUACGGGAGGCAGCAGUGGGGAAUAUUGGGCAAUGGGCGAAAGCCUGAUCCAGCAAUGCCGCGUGUGUGAAGAAGGUCUUCGGAUUGUAAAGCACUUUAAGUUGGGAAGCGUUACCAACAGAAAAAGCACCGGCUAACUACGUGCCAGCAGCCGCGGUAAUUC
Molecule: ribosomal RNA, 407 nt
Filed under: uncultured bacterium
Lineage: Bacteria
Description: partial 16S ribosomal RNA
Rfam family: Bacterial small subunit ribosomal RNA
Source: RNAcentral